GCCUUUGUGGUGUAGUAGUCAGCACACUCGGCGCGUAUUCGAGAGGCCCGAGGUUCGAAUCCUGGAGAGGGCA
This 73-nucleotide transfer RNA is filed under the name Stegodyphus mimosarum. It matches the Rfam family "tRNA". Rfam says of the family: Transfer RNA (tRNA) molecules are approximately 80 nucleotides in length. The record is from Rfam by way of RNAcentral. Lineage: Eukaryota; Metazoa; Arthropoda; Arachnida; Araneae; Eresidae.